GGCCCUAUCGUCUAGAGGCUUAGGACGCCAGGUUCUCAAUCUGGUAACACGGGUUCAAAUCCCGUUGGGGCCG
This 73-nucleotide transfer RNA is filed under the name marine sediment metagenome. Its description in RNAcentral is "tRNA-Glu". It matches the Rfam family "tRNA". From Rfam's summary of the family: Transfer RNA (tRNA) molecules are approximately 80 nucleotides in length. Their secondary structure includes four short double-helical elements and three loops (D, anti-codon, and T loops). The record is from RNAcentral.